Long non-coding RNA from Perognathus longimembris pacificus (Pacific pocket mouse), 1479 nucleotides. RefSeq lists it as uncharacterized. The transcript has 3 exons. NCBI's taxonomy places the organism in Eukaryota, Metazoa, Chordata, Mammalia, Rodentia, Heteromyidae. The record is from RefSeq and is a predicted model, not a curated record.
GUUUCUUACAUCCAGUUAACCAACAAAAAGCUCGAAGUGUAUCUGUGACUAAAGUGAUAGAGAAGCCAAUCCUGAGUGGAAAAGAUAGGGACAGCACCCAGACCCUGAAUUCAAGCCCUAGUACCAAUGAACACACAUGCACACACGUGCACACAAACACACAAAACUAUCUUAACUAACAUACAUACAAUGACUAGUGUAGAAGUUUGAGGUUGCCAAUUUUCAGGUACUUCUCUGCGAAAUCUUUAUGAUCAUUUUGAAAGCUAUACAGUGUUAUGCCAAAAAUAAAUUUUGCAAGGAUGAUUGAAAGAAAAUUUAAAAUUUGUAUAUGUAGUAUUCCAUUUAUUUAGAGGUCAUUGUUUCAAAAUCUGGUCUUUGAAAAUUUUAGACCCAAAAUUAGACCAAAAGAAGAAAAAAAAUACCACCUUAAAUUCUUAGCACUAAAAUCAUCUACUUAUUCAUUCUUACUCUGUUUUAGUUUUCAUUUAGCCACAGUUCAGAAAGUAUAGUUAACCAGUAUUCCAUUCUUCAACAGGCUAGAAACAGAAAGCAUUAAAAGGUGGGUUGGGAAGAUGGAGACAGGAGGCAUUUAUAGAUAGGAUAAUUACAAUGAAUGACAGCUGUAUAAUUUUCUUUGAGAAAUAAAAAGGGAAAAAAUUAAUGUGUACAAAAUUAGCUAUCUAUAAUAAUUCUGUAUUUUUAAGAAAUCUAUAUUUCUUAUCUGAAUAAAAAAUAAAUGUACCAUACAUUAAAGAAUAAAUGUGUCCAAGCUGUUUGAUUUUUAGAGUUUUAUAUCUGAAUUAUUAACCUUCAGUAUCCUAAAAAUGACACCUAUGAAACACAUCUAUCCCUUUAUCUAGCCCCAGAUAUGCUACAAAAAAAACACAGCAUCAUUAUACUUUAAAAUCUAUUUACAUAUCUUAAAUUUUUGUCUCAUAUCUAUACCAGAUUGGGCUUUUUAAUGGCUGCUGGCAUUUUAUGUUUGUUAAUAAACAUAAUAGUGAAAAUUAUCUAUUCAAUAAUAAAGAGACUUUCUAAAAUGCAUUUGAAAGGAUCAAAUAAGUAGUAAAGUUACUUCAACAAAGUGAGGGUGAAUGCUUUUUCUGUUUAUAACACGCACACACACAAUUACAAAAUUUCUUAAAGGCAUAUUUGUAUGUAUAAAUUUUGCAAGUAUGCCCUUAAUAAAUUUAAAAAUAAUACUCAUUCAUAAUAUUGCAACAUUUUGUUAUAUUCCUUGGCAAACAUAAUUUGUUAUAAAAUAGAGCUAUGAAUCAGUAAUACAAAAGAUACGUAAAAUAAUACAUUUUGGAGUAGAACUUUUUUGUUAAAAUCAGAGUCCAUUUGGAGUGAACUGAAUAUGUCCACUUAAAAUCUGCAUAUUACAUUAGAUCAUUUAACAGUGUUUAAAAUUGCCAACUCCAGAAGAUGGAUUUCAACUUCAUUCCUGAUGGCAAUGAAUUUCCUUCUUCUGAAUUU